GAAAGAUGCAGAGAAAUUAGUUCAUGCGUUUGUCUUUAGUCGACUAGAUUACUGUAAUGCACUCCUCUCAGGACUACCCAAAAAAGACAUCAAUCGUUUGCAGUUAGUGCAGAAUGCAGCUGCUAGAAUCCUUACCAGGAAAAGAAAAUCCGAACACAUUUCUCCAGUUUUGAUGUCACUACACUGGUUACCUGUGUCAUUCAGAAUUGACUUUAAAAUUCUGCUUAUGGUUUAUAAAGCUUUAAAUAAUCUCGCCCCGUCUUAUAUAUCGGAAUGUCUGACACCUUAUAUUCCAAAUCGCAACCUCAGAUCCUCAACUGAGUGUCUCCUUAGAAUUCCAAGAGCAAAACUUAAAAGAAGUGGUGAGGCGGCCUUCUGCUGUUAUGCACCUAAAAUCUGGAAUAGCCUGCCAGUAGGAAUUCGCCAGGCUAAUACAGUGGAGCACUUUAAAAAACUACUAAAAACACAUUACUUUAACAUGGCCUUCUCAUAACUUCACUGUAAUUUAAUCCUGACACUCUGUAUAUCCAAUUCAUUAUAAUAACUAUUCAUUCAAAAUUUGUACUAACCCCUACUCUCUCUUCUGUUUCCUUUUCCGGUGUCCUAUUGGUGGUGGCUUGUGCCACCACCAUCUACCCAAAGCACCAUGAUGUUCCAACAAUGAUGGAUGGAUUAAAAGCCAGAAGUCUUCUGCAUGACCAUCAUCAUCAAGCUCUUCUGUGAGAACCCUAAAUACAAAGAGGACUGUUUCAUUUAUGUGAGGUAGAAUGCCCAGAGGGGACUGGGCGGUCUCAUGGUCUGGAACCCCUGCAGAUUUUAUUUUUUCUCCAGCCGUCUGGAGU
Molecule: long non-coding RNA, 842 nt
Organism: Erpetoichthys calabaricus (reedfish)
Lineage: Eukaryota; Metazoa; Chordata; Cladistia; Polypteriformes; Polypteridae
Exons: 2
Source: RefSeq, a predicted model, not a curated record